RNAcentral lists this unclassified non-coding RNA (235 nucleotides) under Hevea brasiliensis (rubber tree). The record is from RNAcentral. Lineage: Eukaryota; Viridiplantae; Streptophyta; Magnoliopsida; Malpighiales; Euphorbiaceae.
AUAAAAUUUGGAAAAUGCCAAAGUCAACUUGACUCAUGCUCGGAUCAAAGAUUUCUUGUUUGAAGCCGAAUGAGAAUCCUUUGAAUCAGAAAAAUUUUCAUCUUCAGUAACGAGAACAAUGUCCAAUUCUCCCCAAUUCUUCGCGAGCUUCAAGCAAACCUCCCAAUCCCUAAAAGCUAGUCUUCGUCCAUGGUUACUUUUUCUAGACCUCACCUCUCUCUACCUCCCCUCCUCC